ACUUGUAUAGUAUAAAAAUUAUUUUUGACUUCCAAUCAAAAGAUCUAUUUAAUAGUCCAAGUA
RNAcentral lists this transfer RNA (63 nucleotides) under Ernobius pini. RNAcentral describes it as "tRNA-Gly". Lineage: Eukaryota; Metazoa; Arthropoda; Insecta; Coleoptera; Ptinidae. The record is from RNAcentral.